GAAAAGCAGGAGUUGCCAUAGCAUGUUUGUUAAUCUCUCGGUCUGGCAGCAGAGGAACUAGAUCGUAAGAUAUCAGAUGCUAUUUCCACAGUUACAUUUGACGGGGAUAAAUUUUGUGUGUUAGAAACUUUAUCCAUUGCUACUAGCUAACGUAGGCCUACUGUCGUUAUCUAUUGGCACCAUAGGCUACUAGCCAAAACCCAUUACAGAUAGUUUCGGUGGGCAAU
Long non-coding RNA from Alosa sapidissima (American shad), 227 nucleotides. RefSeq lists it as uncharacterized. The transcript is spliced from 5 exons. Lineage: Eukaryota; Metazoa; Chordata; Actinopteri; Clupeiformes; Clupeidae. The record is from RefSeq and is a predicted model, not a curated record.